RNAcentral lists this non-coding RNA (116 nucleotides) under Lutispora thermophila. RNAcentral describes it as "Glycine sequence". It matches the Rfam family "Glycine riboswitch aptamer". Rfam says of the family: This family represents the bacterial glycine riboswitch. Glycine riboswitches usually consist of two metabolite-binding aptamers domains with similar structures in tandem. The aptamers cooperatively bind glycine to regulate the expression of downstream genes. RNAcentral also lists the same sequence under 1 other name. Lineage: Bacteria; Bacillati; Bacillota; Clostridia; Lutisporales; Lutisporaceae. The record is from RNAcentral.
AUGACGGCAUCGUGAGAUAUCGAAUGGUUAGAACUCUGAUUCGAUAGCCGAAGGAGCAAUAUGGAGAUUGCCGAAUCUUUAUAGAAACUCUCAGGCGAAAGGAUCGCUGCCGGAUG